AGCUGUCAGUCUGCAAGGAGCUGUCAGCCUGCAUGGAGCAGUCAGAGCUGUCAGUCUGCAAGGAGCUGUCAGUCUGCAAGGAGCUGUCAGCCUGCAUGGAGCAGUCAGAGCUGUCAGUCUGCAAGGAGCUGCCAGUCUGCAGGGUGCUGUCAGCCUGCAUGGAGCAGUCAGAGCUGUCAGUCUGCAUGAAGCAGCCAGAGCUGCCAGUCUGCAAGGAGCUGUCAGCCUGCAUGGAGCAGUCAGAGCUGUCAGUCUGCAUAGAGCAGCUAGAUCCGCCAGUCAGCCAUGAUCUUCUAGAUCUGCCAGUCAACCAGAUUCUUCCAGAUCAGCCUGUCAACCAGAAUCUUCCAGAUCAGCCUGUCAACCAGAAUCUUCCAGAUCAGCCUGUCAACCAGAAUCUUACAGAUCUGCUAGUCAACCAGAAUCUUCCAGAUCUGCUAGUCAACCAGAAACUUCCAGAUCCGCCAGCCAGCCAGGAUCUACCGGAGCCUACUACCUACCUGAGCUUCAUCUCAGUACUGGGCUUCCUCUCAGUACUGGGCUUCCUCUCAGUACUGGGCUUCCCUUCUGUUCCGGGCUGCCCCUCAGUUCCGGGCUGCCCCUCAGUUCCGGGCUGCCCCUCAGUCCCGAGCUGCCCCUCAGUCCCGAGCUGCCUCAGUCCCGAGCUGCCCCUCAGUCCCGAGUUGCCCCUCAGUCCCGAGCUGCCCCUCAGUCCCGAGCUGCCCCUCAGUCCCGAGCUGCCCCUCAGUCCCGAGCUGCCCCUCAGUCCCGAGCUGUCCCUCAGUCCCGAGAUGCCCCUCAGUCACGAGCUGCUCCUCAGUUCUGUGGGGUUCUGGGUGAGGACUAUUAGGCCAUGGUCGGCGGCGAGGGUGGAUUAUCCCAGGACGCGAAGAGGAGGAACUAUGACAUUUAUGGAGUGGGGUCCACGCCCCGAGCCGGAGCCGCCACCAUGGACAGACGCCCACCCGGACCCUCCCUAUGGUUUUGAGGUGCGUCCGGGAGUCCGCA
Molecule: long non-coding RNA, 1008 nt
Filed under: Oncorhynchus kisutch (coho salmon)
Lineage: Eukaryota; Metazoa; Chordata; Actinopteri; Salmoniformes; Salmonidae
Description: lncRNA (ENSOKIG00005002243.1)
Source: RNAcentral